CUAGAGUUGGUAAUGGUAGCGUUGGUAAUGCUAGCAUAGGUAAUGCUAGAGUUGGUCAUGCUAGCAUAGUUAAUGCUAGCGUUGGUAAUGCUAGCGUACUUAAUGCUAGCGUAGUUAAUGCUAGCGUAGGUAAUGCUAGAGUUGGUAAUGCUAGUACAGUUAAUGCUAGCGUUGGUAAUGCUAGCGUUGUUAAUGCUAGCCUAGGUAAUGCUUGCGUUGGUAAUGCUAGCGUAGGUAUUAGGAAUGUAGAAGCAGCAAGAUGUAUUCAGCACUCUGCAGACCCCACCACGCUCAGCAGUGAGAAUAUCUAGAAUCAGACGGUUCUAGAUAACGACUUCCCCUCAUUCAAGUUCGUUCUUAAUCGAAGUUAAUGCUUCCUCCGGAUCGUGAGGGGAGGAUGUGUGAAAAGCUUAAAGAAAGAAACGAGGAAAACAAGAAAGAACCUGAAACUAAGCAAGAAUUUCUGAACGGAAAGGAAGAUAGACUAUAAACCGAUUCAGUUUGUGUAAUCAUUCACUGUGAGUGACGACAGGAAGAGUUUUUUCCCCUCCGGCAUUAAAUGCAACUAUAAAUGGAUAAAAAGUGUGUUGUGUUGAUUGAUGAGUGAGUAAAACUUUGGUGGGGUAUGAAAGGAGUAAAACACUUCGGGGAGGCGUUACUCAG
Molecule: long non-coding RNA, 663 nt
Organism: Ictalurus punctatus (channel catfish)
Lineage: Eukaryota; Metazoa; Chordata; Actinopteri; Siluriformes; Ictaluridae
Source: Ensembl